GAACUGGAGGAGGCCUGCAGGCGGAAUGGAAGGAGGGCCCGAUGUGAGCCAAUCGAGGUCGGCUGCAGGGGAUUCCCAGGACAGAGCCUGCACCGGACACUCAGGCUUCUUGGGAUUAGAGGAGCUCAAGAAAGGAAAG
Long non-coding RNA from Thalassophryne amazonica, 139 nucleotides. RefSeq lists it as uncharacterized. The record is from RefSeq and is a predicted model, not a curated record. NCBI's taxonomy places the organism in Eukaryota, Metazoa, Chordata, Actinopteri, Batrachoidiformes, Batrachoididae. The transcript is spliced from 3 exons.